Molecule: ribosomal RNA, 253 nt
Filed under: uncultured bacterium
Lineage: Bacteria
Description: partial 16S ribosomal RNA
Rfam family: Bacterial small subunit ribosomal RNA
Source: RNAcentral
UACAGAGGCCUCGAGCGUUAGGCGGAAUCACUGGGCUUAAAGCGUGUGUAGGUGGAUGCCUAAGUACCUUGUGAAAUCCCACGGCUUAACCGUGGAAUGGCUGGGUAUACUGGGCGUCUUGAGCCACUCAGGGGCUACCGGAACAAAUGGUGGAGCGGUGAAAUGCGUAGAUAUCAUUUGGAACGCCAAUGGUGAAAACAGGUAGCUGGGGGUGUGCUGACACUGAGACACGAAAGCCAGGGGAGCAAACGGG